Molecule: small nucleolar RNA, 107 nt
Organism: Gossypium raimondii (Peruvian cotton)
Lineage: Eukaryota; Viridiplantae; Streptophyta; Magnoliopsida; Malvales; Malvaceae
Rfam family: Plant small nucleolar RNA R71
About the family: R71 is a member of the C/D box family of snoRNAs containing the C (UGAUGA) and D (CUGA) box motifs. Multiple nearly identical copies of this snoRNA have been identified in Arabidopsis, and it is thought to function as a 2'-O-ribose methylation guide for 18S ribosomal RNA.
Source: Rfam
AAUCUGUCGUGUGGGCAUUUCUGAAUCAACAUUUUAUAACAUUCCCAAGCUUCAUGAAAGCUUUCUCCUUCCAUUUGUCUAAAUACAACAAUUUCUCUUCUCAGUUG